GGGGUGCAGCAGGCGCGAAAACUUUACAAUGCUGGCAACAGCGAUAAGGGGACCUCGAGUGCCAGGAUACAAUCUUGGCUGUCGUAAUGCCUAAAAAGCAUUGCAUAGCAAGGGCCGGGCAAGACCGGUGCCAGCCGCCGCGGUAACACCGGCGGCUCGAGUGGUAACCGCUAUUAUUGGGUCUAAAGGGUCUGUAGCCGGCCGGAUAAGUCUCUUGGGAAAUCCAGCUGCUUAACAGUUGGGCUUUCAGGAGAUACUGUUCGGCUCGAGACCGGGAGAGGUGAGAGGUACUUCAGGGGUAGGGGUGAAAUCUUGUAAUCCUUGAAGGACCACCAGUGGCGAAGGCGUCUCACCAGAACGGAUCUGACGGCAAGGGACGAAAGCUAGGGGCACGAACCGGAUUAGAUACCCGGGUAGUCCUAGCCGUAAACGAUACUCGCUAGGUGUCAGCCACGGUGCGACCGUGGUUGGUGCCGUAGGGAAGCCGUGAAGCGAGCCACCUGGGAAGUACGGCCGCAAGGCUGAAACUUAAAGGAAUUGGC
This 542-nucleotide ribosomal RNA is filed under the name uncultured archaeon. RNAcentral describes it as "bacterial SSU rRNA". It matches the Rfam family "Archaeal small subunit ribosomal RNA", at positions 327 to 869 of the family's 1478-position model. The record is from RNAcentral.